This 784-nucleotide ribosomal RNA is filed under the name uncultured bacterium. Its description in RNAcentral is "bacterial SSU rRNA". It matches the Rfam family "Bacterial small subunit ribosomal RNA", at positions 28 to 808 of the family's 1533-position model. The record is from RNAcentral.
GACGACCUCUGGCGGCGUGCCUAACACAUGCAAGUCGAACGGAACUUCUUUAAAAGAUUUCUUCGGAAUGAAUUUGAUUAAGUUUAGUGGCGGACGGGUGAGUAACGCGUGAGUAACCUGCCUCUGAGAGGGGAAUAACAUUCUGAAAAGAAUGCUAAUACCGCAUAAUAUAUAUUUAUCGCAUGGUAGAUAUAUCAAAGAUUUAUCGCUUAGAGAUGGACUCGCGUCCGAUUAGUUAGUUGGUGAGGUAACGGCUCACCAAGACCGCGAUCGGUAGCCGGACUGAGAGGUUGAACGGCCACAUUGGGACUGAGACACGGCCCAGACUCCUACGGGAGGCAGCAGUGGGGGAUAUUGCGCAAUGGGGGAAACCCUGACGCAGCAACGCCGCGUGAAGGAUGAAGGUCUUCGGAUUGUAAACUUCUUUUAUUAAGGACGAAGAAAGUGACGGUACUUAAUGAAUAAGCUCCGGCUAACUACGUGCCAGCAGCCGCGGUAAUACGUAGGGAGCAAGCGUUGUCCGGAUUUACUGGGUGUAAAGGGUGCGUAGGCGGCUUUGCAAGUCAGAUGUGAAAUCUAUGGGCUCAACCCAUAGCCUGCAUUUGAAACUGCAGAGCUUGAGUGAAGUAGAGGCAGGCGGAAUUCCCCGUGUAGCGGUGAAAUGCGUAGAGAUGGGGAGGAACACCAGUGGCGGAGGCGGCCUGCUGGGCUUUAACUGACGCUGAGGCACGAAAGCGUGGGUAGCAAACAGGAUUAGAUACCCUGGUAGUCCACGCUGUAAACG